GACGAACGCUGGCGGCGUGCUUAACACAUGCAAGUCGAACGAAGUGGCGAACGGGUGAGUAACGCGUAAUCAACCUGCCCUUCAGAGGGGGACAACAGUUGGAAACGACUGCUAAUACCGCAUACUGAAGGAGGGGCUUGCGUCUGCUUAGCUAGUUGGAGGGGUAACGGCCCACCAAGGCGAUGGUCAGUAGCCGGUCGGAGAAGAUGAACGGCCACAUUGGGACUGAGAAACGGCCCAGACUCCUACGGGAGGCAGCAGUGGGGAAUCUUCCGAAAUGGACGAAAGUCUGACGGAGCAACGCCGCGUGAGUGAUGACGGCCUUCGGGUUGGAAAGCUCUGUUAAUCGGGACGCGGUACCGGAAUAGAAAGCCACGGCUAACUACGUGCCAGCAGCCGCGGUAAUAC
Molecule: ribosomal RNA, 408 nt
Filed under: uncultured bacterium
Lineage: Bacteria
Description: partial 16S ribosomal RNA
Rfam family: Bacterial small subunit ribosomal RNA
Source: RNAcentral